This 1081-nucleotide long non-coding RNA is filed under the name Ursus maritimus (polar bear). RNAcentral describes it as "lncRNA (ENSUMAG00000015590.1)". The record is from RNAcentral. Lineage: Eukaryota; Metazoa; Chordata; Mammalia; Carnivora; Ursidae.
CAGCACUCAGGCCAGGAAGUGGGAAAUGGCUACAGUGUUUUAGGAGAGCAAAGGGAACUGCGUCCACAAUGGCCAGGACAGAACCACACAUAGAGUCUGCUUGGUUGACACGGAUUCGUGGGAACAGCAGUGAGAACCUGAAGGGAGAGCCAAAGGAGAUGACAGGAAAAUUUUUCCCAAAGGAAGGAUCAGGGUUCCAUAACCACCUGACUGUGCACCAUCCAGCCCUGACCCACCUUCCCCUGAAGAACCUCUCAUCUGAAGGAAACCAUCAGAAACCCCUGGAUUCAGAGCCAGACACACCAGCUUUCAAAUCCUAGCUCUGCUGCCCAUGAGUCAUGAGGAUUUAAUGUCUUUCUACUUUCUACCUACAACAAAACAGCAUGGUUGAGAUGACUGCCUGAAGUUAUCAUGCAUACAGACGGCGCUCAGCGAAUGGCAGCCAUGUGACUUGCUCGUGCUUGCAUAGCAAGCAAGUGGUAGAGGCCAGUCUCAGCCCCAGGUCCAUGAGUUCAGAGCCCAUACCUUUCCUUCCCCAACACAGCAACUCCAGGCCCCUAAAGAGAAGGUAGCGAAAGGGCUCAGGACCCAAAGACAAGGCAGUUUAGGAACAAAUCUGGAGCGCUAACAAGAAAGAACACUGGCAAAGUGCAAAUUUGCCAAGGCGACCACUGGCCCUCACUUACACAGAAUGCUACCACUCCCCGGCCUCCAGCUCAGCCCAUCUCCCGGGCAAUGGCCUCAAUGUGGGCGAGGCUGAUGGGGAAAUACAUCUGCCUAGUGGAGGACUGUUGAACCCAUCCUGAAAGACUGUUUCAAACAUGCAUGAUGUCUGAAAUUUCCUUUGUUUUGGAGUUUCUUUUUUAAUCAGUUUGCAAAUGUGCUAAAUAUUUAAAUAUUUUACAAUACAUGUUUAAACACUUCUAAGACAAAUGUAUUAGGAAGCUUUGAGGUCAGUUUGUCAUUCUUCUAUCAAAGCCUCACCAUCAACUCUCUCUCUAAGUUUAACCGUAGAUACAAGAAAGUUACACCCUUCCACUCUCUGCAGCAGCUCAACAUUCCUAUUCCGCUACCAAGAACA